UGAGUGGCAGACGGGUGAGUAACAUGUGGGAAUCUGCCUUGUGGUUCAGGACAACAUUGGGAAACCGAUGCUAAUACUGGAUAAGCCCUUACGGGGAAAGUUUUAAUGCCAUAAGAUGAGCCCGCAUUUGAUUAGUUAGUUGGUGAGGUAAUGGCUCACCAAGACAAUGAUCAAUAGCUGAUCUGAGAGGAUGAUCAGCCACACUGGGACUGAGACACGGCCCAGACUCCUACGGGAGGCAGCAGUGGGGAAUCUUGCACAAUGGAGGAAACUCUGAUGCAGCGAUGCCGCGUGAGUGAAGAAGGCCUUUGGGUUGUAAAGCUCUUUUGUAGGGGAAGAUAAUGACUGUACCCUAAGAAUAAGGUCCGGCUAACUUCGUGCCAGCAGCCGCGGUAAUACGGAGGGUGCAAGCGUUGUCCGGAUUUAUUGGGUUUAAAGGGUGCGCAGGUGGUUUAUUAAGUCAGUGGUGAAAGACGGUCGCUCAACGAUUGC
Molecule: ribosomal RNA, 492 nt
Filed under: uncultured Candidatus Pelagibacter sp.
Lineage: Bacteria; Pseudomonadati; Pseudomonadota; Alphaproteobacteria; Candidatus Pelagibacterales; Candidatus Pelagibacteraceae
Description: bacterial SSU rRNA
Rfam family: Bacterial small subunit ribosomal RNA
Source: RNAcentral